This 849-nucleotide ribosomal RNA is filed under the name uncultured Slackia sp. RNAcentral's name for it is "bacterial SSU rRNA". It matches the Rfam family "Bacterial small subunit ribosomal RNA", at positions 28 to 854 of the family's 1533-position model. The record is from RNAcentral. Lineage: Bacteria; Bacillati; Actinomycetota; Coriobacteriia; Eggerthellales; Eggerthellaceae.
GAUGAACGCUGGCGGCGCGCCUAACACAUGCAAGUCGAACGGUUAAGGCCCCCUUUAGGGGGCGCAUAGAGUGGCGAACGGGUGAGUAACACGUGACCAACCCGCCCCCCCCACCGGGACAACCUCGGGAAACCGAGGCUAAUACCGGAUACGCCGGGGCCCCCGCAUGGGGGCUCCGGGAAAGCCUUGGCGGGAGGGGACGGGGUCGCGGCCCAUCAGGUAGACGGCGGGGCGAAGGCCCGCCGUGCCGACGACGGGUAGCCGGGCUGAGAGGCCGAUCGGCCACAUUGGGACUGAGACACGGCCCAGACUCCUACGGGAGGCAGCAGUGGGGAAUAUUGCGCAAUGGGCGAAAGCCUGACGCAGCGACGCCGCGUGCGGGAAGGAGGCCUUCGGGUCGUAAACCGCUUUCAGCAGGGAAGAAGCCUGACGGUACCUGCAGAAGAAGCCCCGGCUAACUACGUGCCAGCAGCCGCGGUAAUACGUAGGGGGCGAGCGUUAUCCGGAUUCAUUGGGCGUAAAGCGCGCGCAGGCGGCCCGCCAAGCGGCCUCGUCGAAGCCGGGGGCUCAACCCCCGGAAGCGACCCGAACUGGCGGGCUCGAGUGGGGCAGGGGAGGAUGGAAUUCCCGGUGUAGCGGUGAAAUGCGCAGAUAUCGGGAGGAACACCGACGGCGAAGGCAGCCCUCUGGGCCUUCACUGACGCUGAGGCGCGAAAGCUGGGGGAGCGAACAGGAUUAGAUACCCUGGUAGUCCAAGGGCAAUUCCACAGUGGAUAUCAAGCUUAUCGAUACCGUCGACCUCGAGGGGGGGCCCGGUACCCAGCUUUUGUUCUCUUUAGUGAGGAAUUA